AUGAACCUCCUCCUCCCAUGCUUUUCAGCUUUCCAGUGUUGCCUUAUGUUCAAAAUAAGGCACUAUAUGUUAGCCUUGAGUCUCUUGCUCAUGGAUCAUCCCCAGGCGAGACAGAGGACCAAAGGAGAGACAGAGGAUUCGGUGCCAGCUGGAUUGCAUGGAAAGGCCCAGGCUGAGGCUUGCUAUACGCUUUUGGCAGAGCCAAAAACAUUUCUAGCUUUCCUCUCCCAACCAUGCAUAUCACCAUUUUACAAAGCAAGCUGUAGGGAAUGA
Molecule: long non-coding RNA, 273 nt
Filed under: Struthio camelus australis
Lineage: Eukaryota; Metazoa; Chordata; Aves; Struthioniformes; Struthionidae
Description: lncRNA (ENSSCUG00000004540.1)
Source: RNAcentral